RNAcentral lists this ribosomal RNA (433 nucleotides) under uncultured bacterium. Its description in RNAcentral is "partial 16S ribosomal RNA". It matches the Rfam family "Bacterial small subunit ribosomal RNA", at positions 29 to 507 of the family's 1533-position model. The record is from RNAcentral.
AACGAACGCUGGCGGCAUGCCUAACACAUGCAAGUCGAACGAGACCUUCGGGUCUAGUGGCGCACGGGUGCGUAACGCGUGGGAACCUGCCCUUAGGUUCGGAAUAACUCCCCGAAAGGGGUGCUAAUACCGGAUAAUGUCUUCGGACCAAAGAGUUAUCGCCUUUGGCUGGGCCCGCGUUGGAUUAGCUAGUUGGUAGGGUAAAAGCCUACCAAGGCGACGAUCCAUAGCUGGUCUGAGAGGAUGAUCAGCCACACUGGGACUGAGACACGGCCCAGACUCCUACGGGAGGCAGCAGUGGGGAAUAUUGGACAAUGGGAGAAAGCCUGAUCAAGCAAUGCCGCGUGAGUGAUGAAGGCCUUAGGGUUGUAAAGCUCUUUUACACGGGAUGAUAAUGACAGUACCGGGAGAAUAAGCUCCGGCUAACUCCGUG